GAUGAACGCUGGCGGCGUGCCUAAUACAUGCAAGUCGAGCGAACAGACGAGGAGCUUGCUCCUCUGACGUUAGCGGCGGACGGGUGAGUAACACGUGGAUAACCUACCUAUAAGACUGGGAUAACUUCGGGAAACCGGAGCUAAUACCGGAUAAUAUAUUGAACCGCAUGGUUCAAUAGUGAAAGACGGUUUUGCUGUAACUUAUAGAUGGAUACGCGCUGCAUUAGCUAGUUGGUAAGGUAACGGCUUACCAAGGCAACGAUGCGUAGCCGACCUGAGAGGGUGAUCGGCCACACUGGAACUGAGACACGGUCCAGAGUCCUACGGGAGGCAGCAGUAGGGAACCUGCGGCAAUGGGCGAAAGCCUGACGGAGCAACGCCGCGCGAGUGAUGAAGGUCUUCGGAUCGUAAAACCCUGUUAUUAGGGAAGAACAAAUGUGUAAGUAACUGUGCACUUCUUGACGGUACCUAAUCAGAAAGCCACGGCUAACUACGUG
RNAcentral lists this ribosomal RNA (497 nucleotides) under uncultured bacterium. Its description in RNAcentral is "partial 16S ribosomal RNA". It matches the Rfam family "Bacterial small subunit ribosomal RNA", at positions 28 to 507 of the family's 1533-position model. The record is from RNAcentral.